Molecule: ribosomal RNA, 395 nt
Filed under: uncultured bacterium
Lineage: Bacteria
Description: bacterial SSU rRNA
Rfam family: Bacterial small subunit ribosomal RNA
Source: RNAcentral
AACGAACGCUGGCGGCGCGCCUAAUACAUGCAAGUCGAGCGAGAAGACGUAGCAAUACGUUUGUAAAGCGGCGAACGGGUGAGGAAUGCAUGGGGUAACCUACCCUCGAGUGGGGAAGUAACUAGCCGAAAGGUUAGCUAAUACCGCGUACGCUCCUUGGACUUCGGUUCAGGGAGGAAAGCGAUACCGUGGGUAUCGCGCUCUUGGAUGGGCUCAUGUCCUAUCAGCUUGUUGGGAGGUAACGGCUCACCAAGGCUUCGACGGGUAGCUGGUCUGAGAGGACGAUCAGCCACACUGGCACUGCGACACGGGCCAGACUCCUACGGGAGGCAGCAGUAAGGAAUAUUGCGCAAUGGGCGAAAGCCUGACGCAGCGACGCCGCGUGGGGGAGUGAA